Molecule: ribosomal RNA, 151 nt
Filed under: Korscheltellus lupulinus (common swift moth)
Lineage: Eukaryota; Metazoa; Arthropoda; Insecta; Lepidoptera; Hepialidae
Description: partial large subunit ribosomal RNA
Source: RNAcentral
UUUUAUAUAUAUAUUUUUUUUUUAUAAUUUAUAAAAUUUAUUUAUUUAAUAAAAUUUAAAUAUUUAAUUGGGGUGAUAAAAAAAUUAAAUAAACUUUUUUUUUAUAAAUACAUUUAUUUAUGAAUAAUUGAUCCAAUAAUAUUGAAUAAAA